This 1372-nucleotide ribosomal RNA is filed under the name uncultured bacterium. RNAcentral describes it as "bacterial SSU rRNA". It matches the Rfam family "Bacterial small subunit ribosomal RNA", at positions 28 to 1381 of the family's 1533-position model. The record is from RNAcentral.
GAUGAACGCUGGCGGCGUGCCUAAUACAUGCAAGUCGAGCGAACGGACGAGAAGCUUGCUUCUCUGAUGUUAGCGGCGGACGGGUGAGUAACACGUGGAUAACCUACCUAUAAGACUGGGAUAACUUCGGGAAACCGGAGCUAAUACCGGAUAAUAUUUUGAACCGCAUGGUUCAAAAGUGAAAGACGGUCUUGCUGUCACUUAUAGAUGGAUCCGCGCUGCAUUAGCUAGUUGGUAAGGUAACGGCUUACCAAGCCAACGAUGCAUAGCCGACCUGAGAGGGUGAUCGGCCACACUGGAACUGAGACACGGUCCAGACUCCUACGGGAGGCAGCAGUAGGGAAUCUUCCGCAAUGGGCGAAAGCCUGACGGAGCAACGCCGCGUGAGUGAUGAAGGUCUUCGGAUCGUAAAACUCUGUUAUUAGGGAAGAACAUAUGUGUAAGUAACUGUGCACAUCUUGACGGUACCUAAUCAGAAAGCCACGGCUAACUACGUGCCAGCAGCCGCGGUAAUACGUAGGUGGCAAGCGUUAUCCGGAAUUAUUGGGCGUAAAGCGCGCGUAGGCGGUUUUUUAAGUCUGAUGUGAAAGCCCACGGCUCAACCGUGGAGGGUCAUUGGAAACUGGAAAACUUGAGUGCAGAAGAGGAAAGUGGAAUUCCAUGUGUAGCGGUGAAAUGCGCAGAGAUAUGGAGGAACACCAGUGGCGAAGGCGACUUUCUGGUCUGUAACUGACGCUGAUGUGCGAAAGCGUGGGGAUCAAACAGGAUUAGAUACCCUGGUAGUCCACGCCGUAAACGAUGAGUGCUAAGUGUUAGGGGGUUUCCGCCCCUUAGUGCUGCAGCUAACGCAUUAAGCACUCCGCCUGGGGAGUACGACCGCAAGGUUGAAACUCAAAGGAAUUGACGGGGACCCGCACAAGCGGUGGAGCAUGUGGUUUAAUUCGAAGCAACGCGAAGAACCUUACCAAAUCUUGACAUCCUUUGACAACUCUAGAGAUAGAGCCUUCCCCUUCGGGGGACAAAGUGACAGGUGGUGCAUGGUUGUCGUCAGCUCGUGUCGUGAGAUGUUGGGUUAAGUCCCGCAACGAGCGCAACCCUUAAGCUUAGUUGCCAUCAUUAAGUUGGGCACUCUAAGUUGACUGCCGGUGACAAACCGGAGGAAGGUGGGGAUGACGUCAAAUCAUCAUGCCCCUUAUGAUUUGGGCUACACACGUGCUACAAUGGACAAUACAAAGGGCAGCGAAACCGCGAGGUCAAGCAAAUCCCAUAAAGUUGUUCUCAGUUCGGAUUGUAGUCUGCAACUCGACUACAUGAAGCUGGAAUCGCUAGUAAUCGUAGAUCAGCAUGCUACGGUGAAUACGUUCCCGGGUCU